CUACGGGGCGCAGCAGUAAGGAAUAUUGCACAAUGGGGGAAACCCUGAUGCAGCAACGCCGCGUGGACGAAGAAGGCCUUCGGGUCGUAAAGUCCUUUUCUGAGGGAAGAGGAAGGACGGUACCUCAGGAAUAAGUCUCGGCUAACUACGUGCCAGCAGCCGCGGUAAAACGUAGGAGGCGAGCGUUAUCCGGAUUCACUGGGCGUAAAGGGCAAGUAGGCGGUUGUUUAAGUUAGGGGUGACAUCUCUCGGCUUAACUGGGAGGGAGCGCUUAAAACUAGGCAACUAGAGGGCGGAAGAAGGGGGUAGAACUCCAAAUGUAGCGGUGGAAUGCUCAGAUAUUUGGAAGAAUACCAGUGGCGAAGGCGACCCCCCGGUCCGUGCCUGACGCUGAGAGGCGAAAGCUAGGGUAGCGAACGGGAUUAGAUACCCUUGUAGUC
This 440-nucleotide ribosomal RNA is filed under the name uncultured bacterium. RNAcentral's name for it is "partial 16S ribosomal RNA". It matches the Rfam family "Bacterial small subunit ribosomal RNA", at positions 339 to 795 of the family's 1533-position model. The record is from RNAcentral.